UCGCACCUACCGAUUGAAUGGUCCGGUGAAGCCUCGGGAUUGCAACUAGUACCUUUACUGUUGUUGGAUGCAAGAACUUGUCUAAACCUUAUCAUUUAGAGGAAGGUG
This 108-nucleotide ribosomal RNA is filed under the name uncultured eukaryote. Its description in RNAcentral is "partial small subunit ribosomal RNA". It matches the Rfam family "Eukaryotic small subunit ribosomal RNA", at positions 1676 to 1785 of the family's 1831-position model. The record is from RNAcentral.